This 497-nucleotide ribosomal RNA is filed under the name uncultured bacterium. Its description in RNAcentral is "partial 16S ribosomal RNA". It matches the Rfam family "Bacterial small subunit ribosomal RNA", at positions 28 to 507 of the family's 1533-position model. The record is from RNAcentral.
GAUGAACGCUGGCGGCGUGCCUAAUACAUGCAAGUCGAGCGAACAGACGAGGAGCUUGCUCCUCUGACGUCAGCGGCGGACGGGUGAGUAACACGUGGAUAACCUACCUAUAAGACUGGGAUAACUUCGGGAAACCGGAGCUAAUACCGGAUAAUAUAUUGAACCGCAUGGUUCAAUAGUGAAAGACGGUUUUGCUGUCACUUAUAGAUGGAUCCGCGCCGCAUUAGCUAGUUGGUAAGGUAACGGCUUACCAAGGCAACGAUGCGUAGCCGACCUGAGAGGGUGAUCGGCCACACUGGAACUGAGACACGGUCCAGACUCCUACGGGAGGCAGCAGUAGGGAAUCUUACGCAAUGGGCGAAAGCCUGACGGAGCAACGCCGCGUGAGUGAUGAAGGUCUUCGGAUCGUAAAACUCUGUUAUUAGGGAAGAACAAAUGUGUAAGUAACUAUGCACGUCUUGACGGUACCUAAUCAGAAAGCCACGGCUAACUACGUG